RNA transcript from Pieris rapae (cabbage white), 253 nucleotides. RefSeq lists it as uncharacterized. The transcript is spliced from 3 exons. Lineage: Eukaryota; Metazoa; Arthropoda; Insecta; Lepidoptera; Pieridae. The record is from RefSeq and is a predicted model, not a curated record.
CUGAGGUCUACGGUCUGGUCUGACACUUUUAUGUAUUGAUGUCAGCAGUCAAUUCAUAUUAAUUACUUUUUAUCAGUUAUCACUAUUUUGUCUGUGGUCGUUGGAGAAUGUGUAGAAAGGGAAUUUAUCGAUAAUUCGAUUAAGGUUCAAGAAUCGCAGGGUUGCAGUCUUAAAGUAAUAGAUUUACAAAAGAAAUUGGAUUUUGCACGUUCUCAGAUCAAACGAUUACCAGGUAUUGAAUUCAAUAAACAGG